GGCUUCGUGGCCUAAUGGCUAGGGCGCUAGAUUUCGGUGCUUUCAAGCAGCAGAUUCUCUAGAGAUUGUCGGUUCGAGUCCGGCCGAAGUCG
This 92-nucleotide transfer RNA is filed under the name Xylaria arbuscula. RNAcentral's name for it is "tRNA-Arg". It matches the Rfam family "tRNA". Rfam says of the family: Transfer RNA (tRNA) molecules are approximately 80 nucleotides in length. Their secondary structure includes four short double-helical elements and three loops (D, anti-codon, and T loops). Further hydrogen bonds mediate the characteristic L-shaped molecular structure. tRNAs have two regions of fundamental functional importance: the anti-codon, which is responsible for specific mRNA codon recognition, and the 3' end, to which the tRNAs corresponding amino acid is attached (by aminoacyl-tRNA synthetases). tRNAs cope with the degeneracy of the genetic code in two manners: having more than one tRNA (with a specific anti-codon) for a particular amino acid; and 'wobble' base-pairing, i.e. permitting non-standard base-pairing at the 3rd anti-codon position. The record is from RNAcentral. Lineage: Eukaryota; Fungi; Ascomycota; Sordariomycetes; Xylariales; Xylariaceae.